This 265-nucleotide ribosomal RNA is filed under the name uncultured bacterium. RNAcentral's name for it is "partial 16S ribosomal RNA". It matches the Rfam family "Bacterial small subunit ribosomal RNA", at positions 793 to 1055 of the family's 1533-position model. The record is from RNAcentral.
GUCCACCCCGUAAACGUUGGGAACUAGUUGUGGGGUCCAUUCCACGGAUUCCGUGACGCAGCUAACGCAUUAAGUUCCCCGCCUGGGGAGUACGGCCGCAAGGCUAAAACUCAAAGGAAUUGACGGGGACCCGCACAAGCGGCGGAGCAUGCGGAUUAAUUCGAUGCAACGCGAAGAACCUUACCAAGGCUUGACAUAUACGAGAACGGGCUAGAAAUAGUCAAACUCUUUGGACACUCGUAAACAGGUGGUGCAUGGUUGUCGU